GACGAACGCUGGCGGCGUGCCUAAUACAUGCAAGUCGAGCGAACAGACCAGGAGCUUGCUCCUCUGACGUUAGCGGCGGACGGGUGAGUAACACGUGGAUAACCUACCUAUCAGACUGGGAUAACUUCGGGAAACCGGAGCUAAUACCGGAUAAUAUAUUGAACCGCAUGGUUCAAUAGUGAAAGUCGGUUUUUCUGUCACUUAUAGAUGGAUCCGCGCCGCAUUAGCUAGUUGGUAAGGUAAAGGCUUACCAAGGCAACGAUGCGUAGCCGACCUGAGAGGGGGGUCGCCCACACGGGAGCGGAGACAGGGUCCAGACGCCUGCGAGAGGCAGCAGUAGGGAAUCUGCCGCAAUGGGCGAGAGCCUGACAGAGCAACGCGGCGUGAGUGAUGAAGGUCUUCGGAGCGUAAAGCUCUGUUAUGAGUGAAGAACAAAUGUGUAAGUAACUAUGCACGUCUUGACGGUACCGAGUCAGAAAGCCACGGCUAACUACGUG
Molecule: ribosomal RNA, 497 nt
Filed under: uncultured bacterium
Lineage: Bacteria
Description: partial 16S ribosomal RNA
Rfam family: Bacterial small subunit ribosomal RNA
Source: RNAcentral